RNAcentral lists this long non-coding RNA (288 nucleotides) under Carica papaya (papaya). Its description in RNAcentral is "long non-coding RNA (CPAP_LNC005069)". The record is from RNAcentral. Lineage: Eukaryota; Viridiplantae; Streptophyta; Magnoliopsida; Brassicales; Caricaceae.
CCCAUCGACAAAGACUCAAAAUUCUGAAUUAACUCCCUAUUCUAUAUCUUUCUUGAAGGCUAUUAGGGUAGAAUCGCAGACUGAACUUCUUUUAUUCUCUAGAUUAACUCAAGGUGAACAGUCAGGUAGCCCAAACAUGUGACUCUCUUCAAAUCCUGUAGCCGUACCUGUUGUGUGACCCCUAUCUGCGUGCAUUAUGAAACUAUCAAAUGAGCUAAUGUACCUGCACUUUUCCUGCUAAGUGUGUCGGCUAUCACGUUGUCUUUACUCGAGUGAUACAAGAUAUCA